AGUGAACGCUGGCGGUAGGCCUAACACAUGCAAGUCGAACGGCAGCACAGUAAGAGCUUGCUCUUACGGGUGGCGAGUGGCGGACGGGUGAGGAAUACAUCGGAAUCUACUUUUUCGUGGGGGAUAACGUAGGGAAACUUACGCUAAUACCGCAUACGACCUACGGGUGAAAGCAGGGGAUCUUCGGACCUUGCGCGCUUGAAGGAGCCGUUGUCGGAUUUGCUAGUUGGAGGGGUAAAGGCACACCAAGCCGACGAUCCGUAGCUGGUCUGAGAGGAUGAUAGGCCACACUGGAUUUCAUACACGGUCCAAAUUCCACUGGGGGGCGGCAGUGGGAAUUUUUGGACAUUGGGCGCAUGCCUGAUCCAGCCAUACCGCGUGGGUGAAGAAGGCUUUCGGGUUGUAAAGCCCUUUUGUUGGGAAGAAAAAGAAGCAGGUUAAUACCCCGCUGUUCGGACGGUACCCAAAGAAUAUGCACCGGCUAACUUCGU
This 491-nucleotide ribosomal RNA is filed under the name uncultured bacterium. RNAcentral's name for it is "partial 16S ribosomal RNA". It matches the Rfam family "Bacterial small subunit ribosomal RNA", at positions 29 to 506 of the family's 1533-position model. The record is from RNAcentral.